GAUGAACGCUGGCGGCGUGCCUAAUACAUGCAAGUCGAGCGAACAGACGAGGAGCUUGCUCCUCUGACGUUAGCGGCGGACGGGUGAGUAACACGUGGAUAACCUACCUAUAAGACUGGGAUAACUUCGGGAAACCGGAGCUAAUACCGGAUAAUAUAUUGAACCGCAUGGUUCAAUAGUGAAAGACGGUUUUGCUGUCACUUAUAGAUGGAUCCGCGCCGCAUUAGCUAGUUGGUAAGGUAACGGCUUACCAAGGCAACGAUGCGUAGCCGACCUGAGAGGGGGAUCGGCCACACUGGAACUGAGACACGGUCCAGACUCCUACGGGAGGCAGCAGUAGGGAAUCUUCCGCAAUGGGCGAAAGCCUGACGGAGCAACGCCGCGGGAGUGAUGAAGGUCUUCGGAUCGUAAAACUCUGUUAUUAGGGAAGAACAAAUGUGUAAGUAACUAUGCACGUCUGGACGGUACCUAAGCAGAAAACCACGGCUAACUACGU
This 496-nucleotide ribosomal RNA is filed under the name uncultured bacterium. RNAcentral describes it as "partial 16S ribosomal RNA". It matches the Rfam family "Bacterial small subunit ribosomal RNA", at positions 28 to 506 of the family's 1533-position model. The record is from RNAcentral.